AUUUAUUUGGCUUCAAUUAUGAAUAUCAAUAUCAAAGGUCUGUAAAAAUUGUUGUUAAGUUGUUUCGUGAUACAUCUAUCAUUCAAAUAUGACGUGCACCAAGAGUGAACAUUCCCUGAAAUACCAAAAUCCGUACUGAAAGUCGAUCAAGCAGUAUAUACUAUGAUCCACGACAGUCCACGGUAUCAAAAGCCGCACUGAGAUCAAGUAACGCCAGUAGAGUGACUCGUUGCCGGUUCAUGUUGAGUAAGAUGUCAUUCUUGACUCGAAGGUGAGCAGCUUCAACACUAUGAAGUUCAAGGUAUGCGGGCUGUGCUUCAGGAUAGAUUCGGUGGACUGUAAGAUGUUUAUGCAUGAGUUUGUCCAGUUACAGCUCGUCCAGUAAGCUUAGAAGCAAGCUAUGGGGCGAAGGUUGGAAAAUAUCUCCUCAGCACUUGGUUUCUUGAAUCCGGGUCUAACAUCAGCAAGUUUCCAAUUUUCUGGAAAGCAGCCAGAUUGCAGGGACAGAUUUGUUAUUCUUGUAAGGAUAGGAAGAAGAACAUCCAAACACUUAACCACAAGGGGGGGAGGCAUAGGAUCUAGCGAGUAAGAUUUCCUGCUUGAUUUAGCAAUUAAGCGCAUGGCAUUGUCAUCACUGAGAGUUUUAAAGGAGUCAAAACGAGCCGAACAAGUACUGCGUUGCUGCGGAGUUAGAGUAGAGUCAGUAGCUGCUUCAUCAUGCAAGUUUAGCGCGAAUGCGCUGUAUCUUCUGCAUAAUAAAAUUUCCUCAAUAUCAUUUGCUAAUAUAAUGUUAUCAUGAUAUCCAUUGAAAGACAGGUCUGUCUCCUGAUCGAACAGUGUCUUUGUGGACCUGAACAGCUUGCGUUGGUCAUGGCUGUUCUCAUCUAUAAAGCAUGUGUAGCAUUUUCUCCGCGCCUGCUUCAUCACGGCAGUGGUACGGUUCUGUUUAGGGCCUUGAAAGUCAAAAAGUCACUGUGCAACUUUAUUCUGGGCCACUUAACUUCCUCUCAGCCCUCCAGCGAUCGGAUUUGACCUCAUUGGUGAACCAGGAGACAGUAGGUCGUUUGGUAGUUGUUUUAUUGAGCACCGGUGCAUAUAUGACGGUCUAAGGCUGAUUUUAGGGUAUCAUUAUAGCACUCAGCCAAG
Paramuricea clavata is the source of this 1146-nucleotide non-coding RNA. The record is from the annotation of a GenBank genome assembly. Lineage: Eukaryota; Metazoa; Cnidaria; Anthozoa; Malacalcyonacea; Plexauridae.